This 253-nucleotide ribosomal RNA is filed under the name uncultured bacterium. RNAcentral describes it as "partial 16S ribosomal RNA". It matches the Rfam family "Bacterial small subunit ribosomal RNA", at positions 524 to 776 of the family's 1533-position model. The record is from RNAcentral.
UACGUAGGGUGCGAGCGUUAAUCGGAAUUACUGGGCGUAAAGCGUGCGCAGGCGGCUUCGCAAGUCAGACGUGAAAUCCCCGGGCUUAACCUUGGAAUGGCGUUUGAAACUACGGAGCUGGAGUGUGGCAGAGGGAGGUAGAAUUCCACGUGUAGCGGUGAAAUGCGUAGAUAUGUGGAGGAGCACCGAUGGCGAAGGCAAUCCCCUGGGCCUGCACUGACGCUCAUGCACGAAAGCGUGGGGAGCAAACAGG